CAGCAGCCGCGGUAAUACAGAGGGUGCGAGCGUUAAUCGGAUUUACUGGGCGUAAAGCGUGCGUAGGCGGCUUUUUAAGUCGGAUGUGAAAUCCCUGAGCUUAACUUAGGAAUUGCAUUCGAUACUGGUAAGCUAGAGUAUGGGAGAGGAUGGUAGAAUUCCAGGUGUAGCGGUGAAAUGCGUAGAGAUCUGGAGGAAUACCGAUGGCGAAGGCAGCCAUCUGGCCUAAUACUGACGCUGAGGUACGAAAGCAUGGGGAGCAAACAGGAUUAGAUACCCGAGUAGUCCCUGUCUCUUAUAC
RNAcentral lists this ribosomal RNA (301 nucleotides) under uncultured bacterium. RNAcentral's name for it is "partial 16S ribosomal RNA". It matches the Rfam family "Bacterial small subunit ribosomal RNA", at positions 509 to 807 of the family's 1533-position model. The record is from RNAcentral.